CGUAGGGUGCAAGCGUUAUCCGGAAUCACCGGGCGUAAAGCGUGCGUAGGCGGAAGCUUAAGUGAGGUGUUAAAUCGCGUGGCUCAACCAUAUCGAUGCAUCUCAUACUGGGCUUCUAGAGGAUGGCAGAGGCAAGUGGAAUUGGUAGUGUAGCAGUGAAAUGCGUAGAUAUUACCAGGAACACCAAUGGCGAAGGCAGCUUGCUGGGCCACACCUGACGCUGAGGUACGAAAGCGUGGGGAGCGAACAGGAUUAGAUACCCUGGUAGUCCACGCCGUAAACGAUGCAUACUAGACGUAUGGGGUAUCGACCCCCUGUGCGUCGAAGCUAACGCGAUAAGUAUGCCGCCUGGGAAGUACGGCCGCAAGGCUA
This 372-nucleotide ribosomal RNA is filed under the name uncultured organism. RNAcentral's name for it is "bacterial SSU rRNA". It matches the Rfam family "Bacterial small subunit ribosomal RNA", at positions 526 to 896 of the family's 1533-position model. The record is from RNAcentral.